GACGAACGCUGGCGGCGUGCUUAACACAUGCAAGUCGAACGCUGAAGCUCAGCUUGCUGGGUGGAUGAGUGGCGAACGGGUGAGUAACACGUGAGUAACCUGCCCUCUUCUUUGGGAUAACGCCCGGAAACGGGUGCUAAUACUGGAUAUUCACUGAUUCUCGCCUGGGGGUUGGUGGAAAGGUUUUUUCUGGUGGGGGGUGGGCUCGCGGCCUAUCAGCUUGUUGGUGGGGUGAUGGCCUACCAAGGCUUUGACGGGUAGCCGGCCUGAGAGGGUGACCGGUCACAUUGGGACUGAGAUACGGCCCAGACUCCUACGGGAGGCAGCAGUGGGGAAUAUUGCACAAUGGGCGAAAGCCUGAUGCAGCGACGCCGCGUGAGGGAUGGAGGCCUGCGGGUUGUAAACCUCUUUCGCUCAUGGUCAAGCCGCAGCUUUGGGUUGUGGUGAGGGUAGUGGGUAAAGAAGCGCCGGCUAACUACGUG
Molecule: ribosomal RNA, 482 nt
Filed under: uncultured bacterium
Lineage: Bacteria
Description: partial 16S ribosomal RNA
Rfam family: Bacterial small subunit ribosomal RNA
Source: RNAcentral